GAUGACGUCACGUAGUGUAAACCUCAAACGUCACAAGGUCAGGAUAAGAAAGUAAUUCAAGCCCUUCAAUCUACGUGGCAAGAAGUUGUGUCGGUCGCAAACAUCGGAGGGAAAAGUGACCGGUUCGAGGUGUCCUUACAACAACACGAAGGAAGACAUGAAAAGGUGAUGCCAUACAGAUGUCAACAGCCCCUCUGUGCAGCAAGGUAUGAAUGUCCUACAUGUAAGGUUAUGUAUUUCCCUCCCAAAGACUUAAAACGACACCAAAGAAGAGAGAGGAAGGAGCUAAAGUUCAAAUGUGAUGUAUGUAAUUCAGUGUUUGAAGAAUAAAAUCAGCUGGUCGACCAUAUGGGGAUACACACCGGUGGAAUGAAGCACAUCUUUUGUGAAUAUGGAAAAAGUUAAACCUCCGCAAGAUGGGACAUAAAUGGUAGAGCUACACCUGUAACACGUGUGGGAAGGAACUAUAGUCCAAACAAUCUUUGAGUCUUUGGCAGUGUCCAAAGUACUGACAGAUUUCGUCAUACCCAGACAUUUUGUACCAUUAUUAGGCUAUUUUUCUUCUCUUUUUUUGUAGUGUAUUAUACGGAAGCAUGGAGGUGACACAUCUCGUGCGCACGAGUUCUAUGUCGUGCGCACGAGAUGUGUCACCUUCAGGCUUCCGUAGUAUGUACUUGACAACGUACAGAAUAAUAAUAAUAAAAAAAAAUAUAUAAUCGUUUUUAUUCAACUUUUCUGUAGUCACUAAUGAAUACGAUUCAACGUUUGUUUAGUUACUAAUGAAUACGAUUCUUAAUUCAGUCCCAUUGUGGUAGUUGUGUACUUCUUUGUUUCAAUUGUUCUGAUGUUCUGUGCUGCCACCGACAAAAUGCGGAUAUAAUACAUUAAAGACUGUUUUAUGUCAAGUUUAAAUUCAUCUGAUAUGUAUUUCGAAUCUUCUGUCUGUGAUAGAGCUUCUAACUUGUGUUUGACAUGAUUUAUGUGUCUUAUGUUUGAUGUCGUCUUCGACGACUGUUGAGACUGCUUUCGGUUUCAAAACCAAGGAGGACAACAUCGCCACUAUCGUCUAACAAACUUUGUUUUAACGGUUUUCCAUCGAAAUAUAUAUAUAUGCUGAUGAACCUUUGAGUGAAGAAGAUACGUCAUUUAAAAAAGGAACCUGGGUUUCUUAAUUUGUAUACAUCAUCAUAUAGCCUAAAUUCUCUUAGAAUAUUCAAUGAUGGUAUUGCAAAAUUUAUAUCAGAAUUCUCAGUUUUGAACAGUCCUCUUCUGAUUUCAUGAGAUAUGAGAUAUGAUGCAUUUUUGAAACGGCUUAUAAAUCUAAUAAAUCUUGCUCGAAAAUGCCGCCAUUCCAAUUUCCAAAACGUCUUUGUUUCAUCCAUAUAUUGCACAAAUGAUGUUGUUUCGUGCUUAAACCAUUUAACAACUUCAACUUAAAGCAAUAAAGAAAUAUUUUGGAUUGGAAA
Gigantopelta aegis is the source of this 1466-nucleotide long non-coding RNA. RefSeq lists it as uncharacterized. The record is from RefSeq and is a predicted model, not a curated record. The transcript is spliced from 2 exons. Lineage: Eukaryota; Metazoa; Mollusca; Gastropoda; Neomphalida; Peltospiridae.